Schistosoma mansoni is the source of this 46-nucleotide non-coding RNA. The record is from Rfam. NCBI's taxonomy places the organism in Eukaryota, Metazoa, Platyhelminthes, Trematoda, Strigeidida, Schistosomatidae.
GCACUGCUGAGGAGUCCCACAAUAGGACGAAACGGUCGCCCAGUGC